Molecule: long non-coding RNA, 2136 nt
Filed under: Homo sapiens (human)
Lineage: Eukaryota; Metazoa; Chordata; Mammalia; Primates; Hominidae
Description: HSALNT0310548
Source: RNAcentral
GUCGCUCACGAGGUCGCGCCUCGCACCCGCCUUCCUCCUUUUCUUUUACCCUCCCCUUCAGAAAAAACGGCGGUUGGGCUGCGACGGCCGCCAAAGGCGGACUAGAAGCGGAGGGGUGAAAAUCCCGGCAGAGAAGGAAGAAGGGACUGCAGGCGGGAGGAGGAGGAGGAUAAGGAGGAAGGGAGCCCGCCCAGCCGGAGCCAUCUCCGUCGAGAACAAAAUGGCGGCGCUGGCGGAGGGCCAACUAUAAGGCGGGGCCGCGGCCAUUCCCCCUCCACCCCCACCCUUGCGCCGGCCGGGCCGGUCAGGGGGAACCCGCUCGCUUCGCCCGGCCGCGGGCGGGGAGGGGAGGGGAGCGGCCCGGCCCACUAUGCAAAGCGCCGGGCGCCGCCGCCGCCACCCCGUGGCAAAGAAUAUGCUUUUUGUCUAAUGAUGUUAGAUAAAAAGCAAAUUUGGAGCAGUUUUCUUAUUCGAGUUCAAAAUGGUUCAUAAAGCAGCGAAGACAACUCAAAACAUCAGUAACACAUUUGGCCCAGGAACUGCUAACAAACAUACAGUGCAGUGGUGGCUUAAGAAGUUUUGCAAGGAAGAGAGCCUUGAAGAUGAGGAACGUGAUAUGGGCCAUGGGAAGUUGACAACGACCAAUUGAGAGCAAUCAUUGAACUACAUGAAAAAUUACAGAAGAACUCAGCGUUGACUAUUCUACGGUCAUUAGGGUCGUUCAGCAUUCGAAGCAAAUUGGAAAGGUGAAAAAGCUUGAUAAGUGGGUGCCUCAUGAGCUGAGCGGAAAUCAAAACUAUCGUUUUGAAGUGUAGUCUUCUUUUAUGCUACGCAACAACAAACCAUUUCUCAAUCGGAUUGUGACAUGUAAUGAAAAGUGAAUUUUAUACAACAACCAGCUCAGUGGUUGGACCAAGAGGCAGCUCCAAAGCAGUUCCCAAAGCCAAACUUGCACCAAAAAAAAGGUCAUGGUCACUGUUCGGUGGUCUGCUGCCCAUCUGAUCCACUACAGUUUUCUGAAUCCUGGUGAAACCAUUACAUCUGAGAAGUAUGCUCAGCAAAUUGGUAAGAUGCACCGAAAACUGCAAUACCUGCUGCCUGCAUUGGUCAACAGAAAGGGCCCAAUUCUUCUCCACGACAACACCUGACUGCGUGUCGCACAACCAGUGCUUCAAAAGUUGAAGGAAUUGGGCUACAAAGUUUUGCCUCAUCCACCAUAUUCACCUGACCUUUCGCCAACUGACUACCACUUCUGCUAGCAUCUUGACAACUUUUUGCAGGGAAAACACUUCAGCAUGGUGCAGAAAAUGCUUUCCAAGAGUUCGUCAAAUCCUGAAGCACGGAUUUUUAUGCUACAGGAAUAAACAAACAUUUCUCAUUGGCAAAAAUGUGUUGAUUGUAAUGGUUCCUGUUUUGAUUAAUAGAAUAUGUUUUAGCGUAGUUACAAUGAUUUAAAAUUCGCAGUCUGGAAAUUUAAUUUUUGCAUCAACCUAAUAUUUCUAUGGUAAAUCCUUGCAAACAUGGAAACAAUGCAUUUGGCCCAGUGCUUUGUGGUUGUGUACUCUUUUUCUUUGUUUUUUUAAUAGAUGGCAUUGGCCGGGCAUGGUGGCUCAUGCCUGUAAUCCCAGCAUUUUGGGAAGGUGAGGUGGGUGGAUCACCUGAGGUCAGGAGUUCAAGACCAGCCUGACUAACAUGGUAAAACCCCAUCUCUACUAAAAAUACAAAAAAAUUAGCUAGGCGGGGUGGCGGGCAUCUAAUUCCAGCUACUUCAUGAGGCUGCGACAGGAGAAUCAUUUGAACUCGGGAGGCAGAGGUUGCAGUGAGCCGAGAUCACACCAUUGCACUCCAGCCUGGGCGAUGAGCGAAACUGUCUCAAAAAAAAAAAAAGUUGGGGUCUCGCUGUGUUGACCAGGCUGGUCUCGAACUCCUGGCCUCAAGUGAUCCUCCCAUCUUGGCCUCCCAAAGUGUUAGGAUUACAGGCGUGAGCCACCACACCCUGCCUGGUUGUGUACUCUUUUAAAUACUAAGUUUUUAAUGUUAAAUGCUGCUUUUAGAUACACUGUAAAAAUACACCUAUCAAUGAGUUUUUUUAUUAAAAACAUUGCAAUUGUACUAGACUUUAAAUACUAAGCAAUA